CAUGCAAGUCGAGCGGAAACGAGUUAUCUGAACCUUCGGGGAACGAUAACGGCGUCGAGCGGCGGACGGGUGAGUAAUGCCUAGGAAAUUGCCCUGAUGUGGGGGAUAACCAUUGGAAACGAUGGCUAAUACCGCAUGAUGCCUACGGGCCAAAGAGGGGGACCUUCGGGCCUCUCGCGUCAGGAUAUGCCUAGGUGGGAUUAGCUAGUUGGUGAGGUAAGGGCUCACCAAGGCGACGAUCCCUAGCUGGUCUGAGAGGAUGAUCAGCCACACUGGAACUGAGACACGGUCCAGACUCCUACGGGAGGCAGCAGUGGGGAAUAUUGCACAAUGGGCGCAAGCCUGAUGCAGCCAUGCCGCGUGUGUGAAGAAGGCCUUCGGGUUGUAAAGCACUUUCAGUCGUGAGGAAGGUAGUGUAGUUAAUAGCUGCAUUAUUUGACGUUAGCGACAGAAGAAGCACCGGCUAACUCCGUGCCAGCAGCCGCGGUAAUACGGAGGGUGCGAGCGUUAAUCGGAAUUACUGGGCGUAAAGCGCAUGCAGGUGGUUUGUUAAGUCAGAUGUGAAAGCCCGGGGCUCAACCUCGGAAUAGCAUUUGAAACUGGCAGACUAGAGUACUGUAGAGGGGGGUAGAAUUUCAGGUGUAGCGGUGAAAUGCGUAGAGAUCUGAAGGAAUACCGGUGGCGAAGGCGGCCCCCUGGACAGAUACUGACACUCAGAUGCGAAAGCGUGGGGAGCAAACAGGAUUAGAUACCCUGGUAGUCCACGCCGUAAACGAUGUCUACUUGGAGGUUGUGGCCUUGAGCCGUGGCUUUCGGAGCUAACGCGUUAAGUAGACCGCCUGGGGAGUACGGUCGCAAGAUUAAAACUCAAAUGAAUUGACGGGGGCCCGCACAAGCGGUGGAGCAUGUGGUUUAAUUCGAUGCAACGCGAAGAACCUUACCUACUCUUGACAUCCAGAGAACUUUCCAGAGAUGGAUUGGUGCCUUCGGGAACUCUGAGACAGGUGCUGCAUGGCUGUCGUCAGCUCGUGUUGUGAAAUGUUGGGUUAAGUCCCGCAACGAGCGCAACCCUUAUCCUUGUUUGCCAGCGAGUAAUGUCGGGAACUCCAGGGAGACUGCCGGUGAUAAACCGGAGGAAGGUGGGGACGACGUCAAGUCAUCAUGGCCCUUACGAGUAGGGCUACACACGUGCUACAAUGGCGCAUACAGAGGGCGGCCAACUUGCGAAAGUGAGCGAAUCCCAAAAAGUGCGUCGUAGUCCGGAUUGGAGUCUGCAACUCGACUCCAUGAAGUCGGAAUCGCUAGUAAUCGUGGAUCAGAAUGCCACGGUGAAUACGUUCCCGGGCCUUGUACACACCGCCCGUCACACCAUGGGAGUGGGCUGCAAAAGAAGUAGGUAGUUUAACCUUCGGGGGGACGCUUACCACUU
Molecule: ribosomal RNA, 1429 nt
Filed under: Vibrio alginolyticus
Lineage: Bacteria; Pseudomonadati; Pseudomonadota; Gammaproteobacteria; Vibrionales; Vibrionaceae
Description: bacterial SSU rRNA
Rfam family: Bacterial small subunit ribosomal RNA
Source: RNAcentral